RNAcentral lists this transfer RNA (72 nucleotides) under Ovis aries (sheep). It matches the Rfam family "tRNA". Rfam says of the family: Transfer RNA (tRNA) molecules are approximately 80 nucleotides in length. Their secondary structure includes four short double-helical elements and three loops (D, anti-codon, and T loops). Lineage: Eukaryota; Metazoa; Chordata; Mammalia; Artiodactyla; Bovidae. The record is from Rfam by way of RNAcentral.
UCCCUGGUGGCUCAGAUGGUAAAGCGUCUGUCUACAAUGCAGGAGACCUGGGUUCGAUCCCUAGGGCGGGAA